UGGAGAGUUUGAUCCUGGCUCAGGACGAACGCUGGCCGGCGUGCUUAACACAUGCAAGUCGAACGGAAAGGCCCCUUCGGGGGUACUCGAGUGGCGAACGGGUGAGUAACACGUGGGUGAUCUGCCCUGCACUUUGGGAUAAGCCUGGGAAACUGGGUCUAAUACCGAAUAGGACCGCAUGCUUCAUGGUGUGUGGUGGAAAGCUUUUGCGGUGUGGGAUGGGCCCGCGGCCUAUCAGCUUGUUGGUGGGGUAAUGGCCUACCAAGGCGACGACGGGUAGCCGGCCUGAGAGGGUGUCCGGCCACACUGGGACUGAGAUACGGCCCAGACUCCUACGGGAGGCAGCAGUGGGGAAUAUUGCACAAUGGGCGCAAGCCUGAUGCAGCGACGCCGCGUGGGGGAUGACGGCCUUCGGGUUGUAAACCUCUUUCAGUAUCGGCGAAGCUCCAGGAUUUUUCUUGGGGUGACGGUAGGUACAGAAGAAGCACCGGCCAACUACGUGCCAGCAGCCGCGGUA
This 517-nucleotide ribosomal RNA is filed under the name Mycobacterium sp. N1739C. RNAcentral describes it as "bacterial SSU rRNA". It matches the Rfam family "Bacterial small subunit ribosomal RNA", at positions 1 to 522 of the family's 1533-position model. The record is from RNAcentral. Lineage: Bacteria; Bacillati; Actinomycetota; Actinomycetes; Mycobacteriales; Mycobacteriaceae.